GGUCGUGUUGACCGGUGAAUUUAAGUGUCUUGACCUCUUCCUGUAUCGUCAAGCUCCAAUUAUUCAGAGUUUCAGAGACCACAAGGACUAAGCAAAUGCGUCUCUCUCUUCUGAUUUCGAUCACAAAUCCUCCUCCAUCUCUCUUUUUGCUUUAACAAUCCCCUUUGGUUUCGAUCCAUACCAAUCAUGUACUCAACAAACCCAAAUUCCUAUGACAAAUUCUCCGGCCCCCCACCGCCGAUGUUCAGUCAGGAUUCAACAACAACUGGGAUUCCGGUGAGCUCAACAAACCAGUACUACACCAGUGACAAUUCUCUAUCAGAUACCCAUCUUCAAUCCAAGAAUAAGGACCCAUGGUCCUCUGGCCUUUGCGACUGCUUUUCCGACUGGCGAAACUGCUGCUUAACAUGUUGGUGCCCCUGCGUCACCUUCGGACGAAUUGCUGAGAUUGUAGACAAGGGAUCAUCAGGUAAUUAAGAAGCAAAUACUAUUAAUUUGUCAAUCAUUAAUUAACUACAUUCAAUUGCUUAUCUACUAGCUAGGAUGAUUAAUUACUAUAGAUCUAUUGAAAGAUCCACUUUUAAUUCCAAAUUGGGUUGAGUCAUGUCUACUGAUAGAAAUUAAGAUGGGUUGACGUUGGUGGGUGCAGCUUGUGGAGUGAAUGGAGCUCUAUACACACUAAUUGCUUGUGUGACUGGUUUUGCUUGCUGCUACUCAUGCUUCUAUAGAGCAAAAAUGAGGCAGCAACACUCCUUGAAGCAGAGCCCUUGUGGGGAUUGUUUGGUUCAUUUCUGUUGCGAGUAUUGCGCCUUGUGCCAAGAAUAUCGAGAGCUGAAAAGCCGUGGAUAUGACUUGUCUAUAGGAUGGCAUGGUAACGUGGAGAAAAAGAACCAUAGCCUGGAGAUGGCUUCGGUGCCACCAGCGGUGGAAGGAGGCAUGAGCAGAUAGAUUGGGAGAUUUGAGCCUUGUUCAUGAACUAGUAAACAUUUGUGUGGUGAAGAUCAUUGUCGUUUACUGUUAAAUGUUCUCCAUUAAUAUCUAAUCUCAAUUGUAGCUGAUUAGAAAAGGGAUGUACUAUCCCUUAAUUAAUCUUUAUUAUGUAUUAAAACCAUUAUACUUUUUAAUAGACAAAAAAUAUAUAAUAUCUGUGUAAAAUAAGCUGCAAUAGUAGCUGUUUGUUAAAC
Molecule: unclassified non-coding RNA, 1184 nt
Filed under: Hevea brasiliensis (rubber tree)
Lineage: Eukaryota; Viridiplantae; Streptophyta; Magnoliopsida; Malpighiales; Euphorbiaceae
Source: RNAcentral